GUCUAUGGCCAUACUACCCUGAACAUGCCCGAUCUUGUCUGAUCUUGGAAGCUAAGCAGGGUUGGGCCUGAUUAGUACUUGGAUGGGAGACCACCUGGGAAUACCGGGUGCUGUAAGGG
Fukomys damarensis (Damara mole-rat) is the source of this 119-nucleotide ribosomal RNA. The record is from Ensembl. Lineage: Eukaryota; Metazoa; Chordata; Mammalia; Rodentia; Bathyergidae.